RNAcentral lists this ribosomal RNA (493 nucleotides) under uncultured bacterium. RNAcentral describes it as "partial 16S ribosomal RNA". It matches the Rfam family "Bacterial small subunit ribosomal RNA", at positions 28 to 523 of the family's 1533-position model. The record is from RNAcentral.
GACGAACGCUGGCGGCGUGCUUAACACAUGCAAGUGGAGCGACGAACCGGGCUUGCCCGGGGCAGAGCCGCGAACGGGUGAGUAACACGUGGGUUACCUGCCGUGAUGACUGGGACAACCCGUCGAAAGACGGGCUAAUACCGGAUGUGCCCGCAAGGGGAAACGAGGCUUCGGCCUCCGCAUCGCGAUGGGCCCGUGGAGCAUUAGCUUGUUGGUGGGGUAACGGCUCACCAAGGCUUCGAUGCUUAGCUGGUCUGAGAGGACGAUCAGCCACACUGGGACUGAGACACGGCCCAGACUCCUACGGGAGGCAGCAGUGGGGAAUCUUGCGCAAUGCGCGAAAGCGUGACGCAGCAACGCCGCGUGCGGGAAGACGGCCUUCGGGUUGUAAACCGCUUUCAGUUGGGACGAAGCUUCUGCGGUUAAUACCCGUAUGGAGUGACGGUACCUUCAGAAAAAGCCCCGGCUAACUACGUGCCAGCCGCCGCAGUAA